GAGCAGCAACUUUUAUCUAGUGCAACAUUUGUUCGACAGGAAAUAGUUCGAAGCAACUCCGACAGCUCCGUUUGUUUGAGGUCUCUUCCUUUCAGAGACAUACAGUGUUUGAGUAAAGGUGAUGUUUUUUACAGCAUAUUUUCUAAUCUAUUCGUGGAAUUUUAAACAUGGAAAAAAGCCUUGAAGAUCUACUCAGUGAUGCAUUUUCAGAAACCUCUGUUCCUUCAUUCCCCGAAGAUGAAGAGCUGGAUUUUGAAAGUUUAGAUUUCAAAGACGAGGAGACUAUUUUAGGCCACAGCAACAGCACUGUAGAGCAGGAAGACAUCUCUUCUUUGAUGGAAACUGCUUCUACAUCUGUUUCUCAUAAUGAAAGAGAGAUUUUGGAUGCUAAAAAUAAUAGCCAGGAGUGUUACUCAAGCUCAGAGGAAGGGUUUGAGGAGAAUGAUGCAGAAAUUGAUGAGGUUGGAGAUUUUGUAUAUAAUAUUCACUGCAGUACACAAGACAACAUGGGUUUAAAUCCAAACCAGUGUAUUAUAGAUCAAGAAGACAUUGCGCCUAUCCCGGAAAAUCUUUCUGCAGACGCAUUAAAAGAAGAUCAGGAAAGGUUAUUGGCUAAAAAUAUCCAAGAUGUCGAGGCCAGUGCGAGACCAGAGGAUUGCACAGGCUCAGAGGACGAGAGCGGAGAGGGUGAAAGUAAAAUUGAGCUGAAAGCUGGGGAUUUCUUUGAGACUGUUCACUGCGGCAGUGACAAUGAGCAGGUCUUUGCAAUGGGACGAGAUCUGGGCCAAAAGGACAAGGAUCAGAAUAGCUACCAGGAAGACGACGAGAUAGAAAAGAAGUACUAUUUUAAGAGCAUCCGGAGAAGUGAAGGUGAUUUGAAGAUGCAAGAUGAUAGUAGUGAGGAGGAGGAUGAAGCCAAAUCAACAAAAACAACGUUCUUCCAAGUCGAAUAUACGUUGGAGUAUCCAGAAAUCCCGUACGAUGGGGUAGAAGAGUUGACCGAUGAACUGGUGGACAAGAUGGAGGAUUUCUCAGGAGAUGAGCACCAAGAAGCUGGGGAGAGUUUUGCAGAGUAUCCGUCUGACUUUUCCUCAUGUGAAUAUGUUGACGAUGCAAGAAACGCCGAAGAAUGUGACCUCGAAUCGCAGCUUGAUUGUUUGGCUCACAAUGAUCUGGAGGCGACAAGUCAAAAAGGCAUAGAAGAAGUAGAGACUGAAGACAGAUUUUUAAACAAUAAACCUAUGAUAGAUAGCACUGGUGAAAACGACACUGAUGGAGACAGAGAGUUGUCCAACAAACAUGAGAUGGGUUUAUUGGAAAUGACGAAACAAGAUUUAUGUUUCAUGUUACCCGAAAAGGAAGACAAUGAUGUGCUUCAAAGUUGGACAGAAGAUGUGUUUUCAGCAUGUAGCAACUCUGAAAGUGACACAAGAAGCUCAAAUGCAGACAAUACAGGCCAUGUCAAGCUUGCAUCCGAUCGAUGUAUGCCAUAUAUAAAGGGGGAAGAAGAAGAGAUCCUGACAGCAGUGUUCUCCAGCCGUGGGUCGGUGGAUGACAGUUUCUUUUUUAAUGAUGAAGCAAAAGUCUCUUAUGCGACGGAGGAGCAAAUAGAUGAGGACGAUGAGGAGGAGGAGGAGAGGAGGAAGGAGCAGGAGAGGAUUCAGGCUUUUUACAGAUUUUAUGACGAUGAAGGAGACAGGCACAGAGAAGAGAGACAAACAAAGGUUCAGUUUUGUAUGGAGACACUGUCCCAGGUGAUUCAUUACGACACUGACAGCACCGAAAGAGAGUCACUGAGCAGUUCAGAUGAAGGGGAGAAGGACUCGGAUCAGAACCCUGAACAAACCUUUGAGGUAGAGACGCCAUUCUUGGGUCCAGAUGAAGAGGAUGCAUCAUUGUCCCAGGAAGCUCAGAAAGACACAGAUCAUACUCAAAAGGACUUGCCAAACCUACCAGAAAUAAUAAAUCCGGAGUCUGUCAACAAACCGAUCUGCAACAAAAACCACAAGUGUCUCCCUGCGCUGAAGUUGAUUUUGAGCCUCUUCUUGACCGUUGUGUUGGGACUGGUCAUGUUCUGGUGGUGGAUCACAGAUGCAGAGGAGUGGCCAGAUUUUGUCCUAUAAAAGAAAGAAAAAAAGAUACUUUUGCAUACUUUGUGCAAAUAUAUUGUAGUGGACCAUAUAGGAGGCAAUUGUUGUUGUACUGUUUUGAUUAUUCACAAUAAAAAGUGCUUUGGUUGGUGGGGGAACUACAUCAUGGUGGUGAUCUGUGAACUAGCUAUAUUUCUACCAGAGGAAAAACAAAAUUCACACAUGCUUGCAUGUUUUGUUGUAAAAACAUCAUCUUAAACUAAACAAAUAAACUCACUCAAUAGUUUAGCCUCCACCGAAACAGAUGUC
RNAcentral lists this long non-coding RNA (2399 nucleotides) under Neogobius melanostomus (round goby). RNAcentral's name for it is "lncRNA (ENSNMLG00000015468.1)". The record is from RNAcentral. Lineage: Eukaryota; Metazoa; Chordata; Actinopteri; Gobiiformes; Gobiidae.